Molecule: non-coding RNA, 1075 nt
Organism: Cinara cedri
Lineage: Eukaryota; Metazoa; Arthropoda; Insecta; Hemiptera; Aphididae
Source: the annotation of a GenBank genome assembly
AUAACUGGUAUAUAUAGCACUCCUAUUCAAUUAAUAAUUGAGAAGUUGAUUUUCUAUAGCUGACCAUACACCAUCCAGAAUUUGGAUUUUACGAUCAUAUUAUCAUUUAUUUAACAAAAUAGAGGUAUAAUUUCGUACUUAGUUACAUGGAGAGUUAGAUGAAUAAACCAACACACAAUGCGAAAAUAAGUAAAUCUCAGGUUACUAAAUGGGAAGUGAUAAAGAAUUGUCAAUAUACUGACAAUCGCUUGUCAAAAAUAACAACUUUAUAUGUGAUUAAGGUGACUCAAUUGCCAGAUCUUCAUACAGAAGAGCAACUUGAAGCUAGUACCACUUUAGUAAGAAUAAGUGUAGCAGGUGAAAAUAUAUUUUUACACAAAGCUGUUGCUAUUGAAAUUAUGAAAGAGAUUUUUCCAUAUAAAUUUAGUAGCAAAAAAAAGAAUAAUAUAUCCAGGUUAGAAGAUUUGUAUAAUCACUUAUGUUCUAUUGUUAGUAAUAGCCUUCCAAGGGAGAUACUUGAAAGCUUAAUAAAAGAAUAUAGGAAUUCUGUUAACCUAUUGAGAACAAUUAUUUAAUACUUUAUUUUCUAUUUCAGAAAUACCACUUUCAAGACUUUUAUCUAUUAAACAUAUUGUAGUUAUGUAUAUUUGCCGACUUUUUUCAACAUUAAUAGUUAAAGUUCCUGGAGUAAUUGUAACUGAAUUAGCAAAUAGAGUAAUAUUCUUGUCAUUAUGACCUUUACACUUUUUUAAAAUAAUAACCGGUUCAAGCUGAAGAUCAGACUGCAGCACCUUUUUUGUUAAAUAAAUACUUGAUAAAAUAAUCUGGUACAUUAGCCAUGGUAUAUAACUUACUAACCCACAGAAUGAUAGCUUCUUUGUGCUGCUUAAGAUACGAUUAAGGGAAUCCUCAGCACUUAUUAAUCGUUUAAAAAUAAAAAGUGUAAAUGCAGAUGAGAAUAGUCCACACAAGACGAAAAAAGAUUCAGAGUAGCCAGACAAUAUAGCCCAUAAGAUAAACAAAGUGAUAAAAGAUAGAGAAAUGAACUUUAUUUCUUGUUUACAUUUGUAGCUUU